UGCUGAUGGAUUACUCCCUAAUGGUGAAAAGAAGUUGUAUUAGCUGUUUGUGAAAAAUGGACUCCUCUAAAGAAGAAAAAGAGAUGAGAAACAUGACAAACUGGUAUGUGUUUCUUGGAAACAUGAUCUGCUAAGGAGGAAAUGGUGCUUUCACAUUUAAAAUUCAGAAAAAAGAAAUGACUGCUUCUUGUGACUGCUUGUACAUGGAGCCAGGUUUUGACAGUCUUAUGCAGCCAUGUGGCAGGGAGCCUUCUGCGCUGAACCCUUCCUCGCCUGUGUAUCUGGCCAGUCCUACUAGAUGCCUGGCAGGGCUGAGGCUGAAAAAAAGGCUGCACAGAUUAGGAAAAACUGAGAACCUUUUCCUCUCUAAAGAGGAGCUGGCACCAAAAGAAAAGUUCCCGAACUCCCAAACAGAGAAGCAUCAGUCUUGGAAAGACAGGUUGGAGAAAAGAUCUGAGAAGUGGACGCAGAUGCUGGAGAUCAGCAAGAUGCAUGGUGAAUGCCAGGGGAUGCUCCAGGACCCUGCUGGUGAUGCCCAGGGUGGGUAAGUGGGAGCAGUGACAGAGCAGGAACUGAUACAACUUUUGAGGGUUGGGUGAUGUAGAGCUAAAGAGAGGAAGUGAAUGAAUGAAUGACUGUGUGAGAUAACCAAGCUGGUUAAAAGUGAUAUGGCUCUUAAACAAACCCCAGUACCAGAUCUACUAUGGUCUGUCAUUCACUCUGUCUUGUCCAUUAUAAUGAGGAUGUAGCAAAAUGGCAUUAGAGUUCCAACAACAGUGAACCUUUGGAAUGUAUAGGCAGAAAGCAAGCCAGCAAACUCUUCACAUGCCUGGUCAAAUAUUUCAUGAUAAUAUGUUUUUAAGAUGUCAAGUAUUGUCUUUGUUAUUUUAUUUUGACACAGCAGAAAGCACUGAAAAAAGUUUCAUAACUUUUCUUCUCUUUAGAAGUUUGAUUCUGUGGUAAUUGAAAUUACUAGUUCUGCUCUGGCACUAUUGGGGAAUAGGCAACAACUACAUGUUGAAGAUUCCUACGAAACACAAACGUGACAGUUCCCUACAAGGUAUAUGGAUGAAAAUGAACAAUAACACAUUGCUUUCUCUGUUAUAUAGGCAAACUGAAUUAAAUUUAACUCUUCUCAUUAUAAGUCUAUUUUUUUUCCUUCACAAUCAUUUUAAGGUUAUUUAUUCUCUUUCCAAAUUUGAUGUAUCAGCAAGAUUAGUGCCCACUAGGUAUAAUACUCUGCCUGAAUUUGUUUCAGGCUGAAACCCAGAAUUUCACCUUUAAAGACUUUGGAU
Long non-coding RNA from Strigops habroptila (Kakapo), 1295 nucleotides. RefSeq lists it as uncharacterized. The transcript has 5 exons. The record is from RefSeq and is a predicted model, not a curated record. NCBI's taxonomy places the organism in Eukaryota, Metazoa, Chordata, Aves, Psittaciformes, Psittacidae.